CUCCCCAUCAACCCUCAGUUUUUAUUUCAAGUGCUUUUGUUUUCAUAGCUCGGGAUACAUUUAUUUAUAUUUUUCUGAUGACCAGCCUCUGUGCGUGGACUCCUUCUUGCGCCGUUUUUUCAAAAAGUUGCUUCGUUUAACCUGUGACUAAUUGGUUAGAUAAAACCAGCAUAUGUACUCCUAGAACCUAGGAGUACAUUUCGUCCCAGGCCUGGGAAGGAGGAGUAAAUUGCACUUCAUUCCUGUCAUUCUUUCUCUUUCCCUUUCCUGCAAAAUUAUCAUCCAAAGUCGUGUUGGAAAAUUCUUCAUUUGUCUAUCAGAGCUCUUUCAUUCAUUCGUGUAUUAUUCCGUAAAUCUCCCCCCCCCAGCCAGCUCCUGGACUCCAAGUGUCCUCCCACCCACACACAGCACAGGAAGGGAAGCUUCUCUAGGAGAAGAAACCGGUCAGAAAGGAAAGAGUAAGGAGUAUGGAAUGUCAACUAAGUGAAAAAUUUGUGAUUUGGUGGAGAGAACAACGGACCAGAGUCUAACACGUGGGUUCUAGGCUUAGCUUCCUACUGAUGGGUUGUGUGAAAUUGUACAAUUGCAUCUCAUGUCUUGAGUCCCCACCUCCUUAGCUUGUAAAAUGGGGUGGCCUGCUUCCCUAAGAUGGUUGUGGGAAUCCGAUGAGACACUGCACGCCAAGGCUCUCUGUAAAUGCUCAGGCUCUUUCUGAGAGCACGGCGCCAUCAUUAUUCCGGAAGCAAAACAUGAGACAGGCAGGACAGGGAGUCCGUGUUGGGAAUUCAUUCUGGAGCGAGGUCGCAGCAGUCAUUGGGAAGAGUCUUCCUUGGGCAAUUUCAUAUUUACUUAUUUACGUAAUCUCUACACCCAACGUGGGGCUCGAACUCAUGACCCUGAGAUCAAGACUCGCUUGCUCUUCUGACUGAGCCAGCCAGGUGCCCCAUUCCAUGGGUAACUUAAAUGACAAUGCCUCAAGGAAUUUUCUCCGGCUCUACCCCGCCCCAAGUCCAGGUUGUGCCCCUGACAUGGGCCCCUAACACUGUAUACUUUUUGUCCCCGAGCAUUUCGCAGGUAGCGGUACCAGUGUCUGUCUACGAGACCGUAAGCCCGUCGUAGUCAGGGCCUUCUCUCAUCCAUCACGAUGCCCACAGAUCCUGGCGCUGUGUCCAUAGGGACAGUAAGUAGACAAGUGGAAGUAUUUCUCACGAGCGAAGACCCGGACGAGGCAUUCGGUCAGACAGCAUGACACGUCAAAGGAUUCUGCUGGGCACUCACGCUGUGUGGGAAAGUCAGCAGAUUGAAACCAGGUUUGGGGUCCAGAAGGCCAGUCUUAAGUCCUAGUAGUCUCACUGCUCAGCUAUAUUAUCACCAAGACAUCCCUGUGCUAUCGGGAAGCGUGCUGUCGCUUCUCAGCUUCCGAGAGUGACAACCUCUCUGUGCUUCAAUAUCCUCACUUGAAAAAUGGAGCAAAAAAGCACCUUCAAAUGCCUCAUCUUCUUCAGCCACGUUAAGACGCGGUUUGGGUUUUUGUUCGCGGCGCCGUAAGCAAAUGCUGUAAAGCGUUUUGUUUGGUUUUCAUUUUCCUGAAAAAUGACAACAUUCAGAUACUUUGCAGCAUUUCUCAAAUGAUGGGUAACAUUGUAAGAAGAGCCUUGUCCUUUUUCUCUUGGCUCAUCUGUAACUCCAGACUUCCUGUUUGUUCGGGUUGUCGGAUGGCUUGGAAUCCUGGAGGUUUGAGGGAAGCCGAGUACCUGAAUAAGGCUAAUGACUUUGUAGAAGCCCAUACUUCUUGCCUAGUGCUCACCUCCCGCUGCCACUAGCCUCGCACAAGCCGCUGUCAUCUCUGGCCUCCUAACGUACUUCCGCUUCUUGCCUCCAACCCACUUUUCACAGCACAGAGCAGACGUUCCCCGAACGCACAUCUGACCGUACCCCUACUGACCGAGAGCCCUUCGGGAGGCCCCCCCGGCUGGCCAGGGCUCUUUCUCAGGAUCCUCCUCUUCUCUGUCAGUCUGUCUGUCUCUCUCUCUGUCUGUCGCACUCUCUCUGUCGCUUUCGGUUCUUCCAACCAGCUGGACUCAGUUCUCUCCACCCCAGACCUAGUUCUGCUCUUCCUUCUGCAUGGAAUAUUCUCUUCUGUCUUUGCCUGGCCAACGGUACUAUCGUUCGGGUCUCAGUUUUAAUGGCACUUCUUGGUGGUGCACCUUUCCUGACCCCCUAGACCAGACUGAGCAUCCUUGUGAUGUGAUCCUGACUCUUCCUCUGGCCUGCCUCGUCCCGUAGAGCUGUCUGUAAACUCCGUGAAGGCAGGAGCAAGCUUCUGCUGUUCACCUCUGCACCUCCAGGACCUGCCGGGUGCCGUGUGCCUCGCGUAGAUGGCGUGCCUCAGCUGGUUUUCUCGGAUUAUUCAGGAUUUUUGCUGGAAUCCAAGUGGUCUUUCAAGAGAACCGAUGAUUUUCUGAUGAAGCUGUUCGCACGCUUUUGAAGCCAGGAGAAGGGUUGUAUAGACAACAAGACUGAAUGAAGGUAUGAAAUUGUCUUGGUAAGACGAAGUGAAAUCGGGCCACCACACAAGCAAACAUGGACAUCACCUGUAUCUGGAGUCUCAAAGCCAUGAAAUACGCGGUGUUUGAAAGGAUACGAGAAAUACAUUGAUUUGAUUUGACUUUUUUCUUUUUGGCCAUCCUUCGUGUUACAAAACAGUUGAAGCUUAGUAUCAUUUCAAGCACGGAGUGUAAAGUGAUCGGUGAGGCUGGAUGGAGGAAGGGCAAGAGAAAUGAAUGUGAAGGACAAAAAAAAA
Long non-coding RNA from Herpailurus yagouaroundi (jaguarundi), 2803 nucleotides. RefSeq lists it as uncharacterized. The record is from RefSeq and is a predicted model, not a curated record. NCBI's taxonomy places the organism in Eukaryota, Metazoa, Chordata, Mammalia, Carnivora, Felidae. The transcript has 3 exons.